Molecule: small nucleolar RNA, 131 nt
Organism: Acomys russatus (golden spiny mouse)
Lineage: Eukaryota; Metazoa; Chordata; Mammalia; Rodentia; Muridae
Product: small nucleolar RNA SNORA17
Exons: 1
Source: RefSeq, a predicted model, not a curated record
CCUGCCCCGAGAAACAUUGCUAGUAUGGCUGCUAUGUCACAUGUGCAUGUGUGUACGCAGGUGGCAGAGAGGAGAGAGGCCGAGUCUACACUCAGUGUUCUGCAUAGCUGAAUGAUUUGUAGUCUAACAUU